This 2766-nucleotide long non-coding RNA is filed under the name Corvus moneduloides (New Caledonian crow). RNAcentral's name for it is "lncRNA (ENSCMUG00000019262.1)". The record is from RNAcentral. Lineage: Eukaryota; Metazoa; Chordata; Aves; Passeriformes; Corvidae.
CGCAGUGCCCGCGCCUGCCCGCGCCGCGCUCCGCGGCCGCGCUCCGGCCCCUCCGCCGCCUCCCCCGACCCUCCCGCCGGGCGGAGGAGGGGGAGGGAGAGAGGGGAGGAGGAGGAGACGGGAGGGGAGAGAAGAGAAGAGAGGCGAGAGACGCGCCGCAAGUUGCUGCCGCUCCUCCCUCCUUUCCCUGGCCGCGCCGCUGCCCGGCCCCUGCGGGCUGCGCUCCGCGGGAGGCGGCAUCCAGGGGCGCAGCGCUCCGCGGGGCCGGCGCCUCCCGGUGGAAACGUUUGUCAAUACUGUAUCUCACUUGAACAUCAAGCCCUACAGAGACUACAAGCUUAUUGAUGCCAUCAAAAACCCUAAAACCGUAAAAAUGUUUCUGAAUGUGGAAAAUGCACAGAAAAAGCAAAAAUAAUCUGAGUAUUGCAGAUAGUAAUCUGAGUUUGGAGGAGAUAUUUAGGUAAGUUUUUAUAUUAAAUGUUAUUAAAAUUUCAUAUUAAGUUUCUGUUGUGCACUGGUAGUCCAGGAGAUGCACUGGAAGUCUGGUUGUCUGUGGGUGUGACUGGUCAAACCCCACAAUUUAUUUUGGUGUAGAGUGAGAGAUCUGAAACUUGCAGGGUUGGGGUUUUUUUCCAUACAGAAGCAAAACUUUUGGAAACAUUAAUGAAACAAUAUGGAGAGAAACUCUUGCCAGAGCAGCCAAGUAUUUUGUCCAGGCACUUUCCUGUAGCAUCAGGAACCCAGCCUCAGAUCUCUUGUCUGACACAUCCUGGGCAAGUGCUGUUUAAUGCAGACCAUCAGUAGCUUUUGGUCUGGAGCCUGCAUCUCCUGCUUUCUCCUGCUCUCUCUACUCAUCUGGAAAUCGUAACCCACAUCUGGGAAAUAUUUCUAACAUCAGCUUUCUUAGGAAGUGACAUAGUAGUGCAAAACAUUUCAGUCACCUUCAGUUUCAAACUGUAUUUGAUAAAUUUAGAACCAGCUUUUUAGCAAAGCAGUGUGAGCAGUGGAUGUGUUCAGAUUUUCAGAAGGACCCAACGAGUUAACAGGCUUUAUAUUUUCUAAUGUGUAUGCUGAGGCACAUCACACAGUUGAGGUUGUGGUGACUGAGUUGCAGGUAGUGGUUUGUCCUCAGCCUUGUUGACUGGAAUGGCAGUAGACUGGUUUUCAUUUGGAUGCGUUGAGUUCCAUGUGCAAAGAUUUGUUGGUUUUCAUGAAGUUGGGUCAGAUUUGUAGGAUUCAUUUAAAUGAAAACUGGUAAAUGAAGGUUAACAGAUUACAUAUUGGCCAUGUAGUUUAAGAAAGCAGCUAUUUCAGAAAUAACUAGUCUAUUUGUGAAAUAAGCUAAUAAUAUUUAAUGACUUGUUUGAUUCUUACAAACAGUUACUUGUGCUUGUAGAUCCUAAUUGCAUGAGCAGAGUUCUGUACUUUGCACGGGCAGAGUUAUAUUUGUGUUGAAGUGUUUGUUGUAUUCAUGCCAAAAAAACAACCAAAAAAACCUUAUUAAGUUCUGAUCCUUAAAAUGUGUGUGUGCUUAACUUGACUGCUCAAAUAAUGUUGCUUUGGCAGUGUUGAUUACAACACUUUGAUCACGAAAUACCUCAUGUAAGGUGGUGGUGGUGGUGGGGAAUUAAUACAGCAGUAGUGUUGAUCUGUAUAAACAGUCAUUAAUGAGUACAUGUUGCACCCUUCCCUGGAGGCAGAAGAACAUGUUUCUGCUGAGUUGAUGAGUAAAAUUAAUUUGCUCACUAAAUAUACUUACUGUCUUGAGAUCCAGUUUGCUGCUGCUCUCUUAGCCCAAAGUCAGACUUGAGAGUGACUGUUUCUGUACUUUGCUGGGCAGAGAUUUCUCUGGGUGUUGAGGCCUUUAAUCCUGUCUGCUGUAUGUCAGCUGCACCACCUUCGGCUCAGUUCCCUGAGCUAGACUAGGGAUAGCACAAAAGCAUUUAUAAAGGUAAACAAGGGCGUUGUUUGAAUGUCUUUACAAAGAACAGAAGAUAAUUUCUUUGCCCACUGGAAGGGGAAUGUUUACUAUUUAGCAAGGAAGGAAAAGUACUAUCCUUUUAGGCUUUACAGAGUAGAAAAAAUUACUGCAGCUUAAAGCUGACUGGAGCCUCUGAACCUCUAAUGGUAGAUACCAGCAAGUCCUCAGCUGAGAUUUUGGGAUACCAAAGAAGAACCCGGGGAUCUAGCAGGGUAUGGACUAAGGUGAGACUAAGAGAGAAAUGUGGGAAUAAAACAAAAAAGCCACAUAUUGCAUAAAUGAAGAGUGGGGAAAGGAGAUCAACAAGGAGGUCACAAGGGUAGAUUUCUGUGAUUGUUGCUCUGAAGAGUGGCUGGCAAACAUUCCAUCUGACAGGAUUUUGUAUGGAUUUUGCAUGGCCAAAAUUUCAUUUAUAAUUAUAACUAGGUAUGUGAAUUUUUCUUCACUACUCUUGAGUGAAGUUGUUCGUGCAUUGUUUUUCAUGUUUAUUUUCUCAAAGGAGAAAAAAAUUUGCGGACUCCCCAGAUACUCUAAGAAGAAAAGCCAGCCGUUUAUUUAGGCUGGCUCUCAAUAUGCAGAAAGUUGCCUCCAGAGGAAAAUGCUAAUAUUUGGCUUUGGACUUUCCUGGGAACACAAAUAAACUGUUGGUUUUUUGUCUUUGGAGAUUUUGUAGGUGUUUUUAUUUCUUUCUUCUUCUUUAAAGUCUUUCUACUUAUCUAGCAUUUUGCAUAACUUUGAUAUUUAUCUUUGCAAUACAGUAAUUUACAUGAAGAUAUGCAGGGUUU